RNA transcript from Aedes albopictus (Asian tiger mosquito), 2802 nucleotides. It is a transcript of the gene named NADH-ubiquinone oxidoreductase chain 2-like, with no coding region annotated. The transcript is spliced from 2 exons. NCBI's taxonomy places the organism in Eukaryota, Metazoa, Arthropoda, Insecta, Diptera, Culicidae. The record is from RefSeq and is a predicted model, not a curated record.
AUGUUUAACCAUAAUUAUGUAAUAAUCCUUUUCUUUUUAAUUAAAAAAAUUUCCAAUAACAUUUUUUUUAUUAUAUUAAUUUCUGGGUCUUUAAUUACUAUUUCAGCUAACUCUUGACUAGGGGCAUGAAUAGGAUUAGAAAUUAAUUUACUUUCAUUUAUUCCCUUAAUAAAUGAAAGUAAAAAAAAUCUAAUAACUUCAGAAAGUAGAUUAAAAUAUUUUUUAGUUCAAGCCUUUGCUUCUUCAAUUUUAUUAUUUGCUAUUAUUUUAAUAAUAAUAUUUUUUAAUAGAAAUUGAAUAAUAAAUAAUAAUUUUAAUAAUUUAUUAAUUUUAUCAACAUUAUUAUUAAAAAGAGGAGCAGCUCCCUUUCAUUUUUGAUUCCCUGGAGUAAUAGAAGGGUUAUCUUGGAUUAAUGGAUUAAUCCUUAUAACUUGACAAAAAAUUGCCCCAUUAAUAUUAAUUUCUUAUAAUUUAAAUUAUAAUUUUUUUCUAUUUACUAUUUUAUUUUCUAUAAUUAUUGGGGCAUUUGGGGGAUUAAAUCAAACCUCCUUACGUAAAUUAAUAGCUUUUUCUUCUAUUAAUCAUUUAGGGUGAAUGCUUUUAGCUAUAAUAAAUAAUGAAUUAUUAUGAAUAACAUAUUUUAUUUUAUAUUCAAUUUUAUCAAUUUCAAUUAUUUUAAUAUUUAAUAAUUUUAAAUUAUUUCAUUUUAAUCAAAUUUUUAAUUUAUCUAUAAUAAAUCCUUAUAUAAAAUUUUUUAUAUUUUUAAAUUUAUUAUCAUUAGGAGGAUUACCUCCUUUUUUAGGAUUUUUACCUAAAUGAUUGGUCAUUCAAAAUUUAGUAGAAAUAAAUCAAAUAUUUAUUUUAUUUAUUGCUGUUUGUUUAACAUUAGUAACUCUUUAUUAUUAUUUACGAAUAUCUUAUAGUAUUUAUAUAUUAAAUUAUAAUAAAAAUUCUUGAUUAUUAAUUAAUCAACAUAAUAAUAAUAAUUUAACAUUAAUUUUAACUAUAAAUUUUAUCUCUAUUAUAGGAUUAUUAAUAAUUUCAUUAAUUUUUAUAAUUUUAUAAUAAGAAUUUAAGUUAAAUAAACUAAUAGCCUUCAAAGCUGAAAAUAUUUGUAUUAAUCUUUUAAUUCUUAAACUUUAAUAAUUAAAAAAUUAUUCCUUUAGAAUUGCAGUCUAAUAUCAUUAUUGAAUAUAAAGUUUGAUUAAAAAGAAUAUUUCUUAUACAUAAAUUUACAAUUUAUUGCCUAAACUUCAGCCAUUUAAUCGCGACAAUGGUUAUUUUCAACAAAUCAUAAAGAUAUUGGAACAUUAUACUUUAUUUUCGGUAUUUGAUCUGGAAUAGUCGGAACUUCACUAAGAGUUUUAAUUCGUACUGAACUUAGACAUCCUGGUAUAUUUAUUGGAAAUGAUCAAAUUUAUAAUGUAAUUGUUACUGCUCAUGCUUUUAUUAUAAUUUUUUUUAUAGUAAUACCUAUCAUAAUUGGAGGAUUUGGAAACUGACUAGUACCCUUAAUACUAGGAGCCCCUGAUAUAGCUUUCCCUCGAAUAAAUAAUAUAAGUUUUUGAAUAUUACCCCCCUCUUUAACACUGCUGCUUUCUAGUUCUAUAGUAGAAAACGGAGCUGGAACAGGGUGAACGGUUUAUCCUCCUCUUUCUUCUGGAACAGCUCAUGCUGGGGCUUCAGUUGAUUUAGCAAUUUUUUCUUUACAUUUAGCGGGAAUCUCAUCUAUUUUAGGAGCAGUAAAUUUUAUUACAACUGUAAUUAAUAUACGAUCAGCUGGUAUUACUCUUGAUCGACUACCUUUAUUUGUGUGAUCAGUAGUAAUUACAGCUAUUUUAUUACUUCUUUCUCUACCCGUAUUAGCCGGAGCUAUUACUAUAUUAUUAACAGACCGAAAUUUAAAUACAUCUUUUUUUGAUCCAAUUGGAGGAGGAGACCCUAUUUUAUAUCAACAUUUAUUUUGAUUUUUUGGUCAUCCAGAAGUUUAUAUUUUAAUUCUACCAGGAUUUGGAAUAAUUUCUCAUAUUAUUACACAAGAAAGAGGAAAAAAGGAAACUUUUGGUACUUUAGGGAUAAUUUAUGCUAUAUUAACAAUUGGCUUAUUAGGAUUUAUUGUAUGAGCUCAUCAUAUAUUUACAGUUGGUAUAGAUGUUGAUACUCGAGCUUAUUUUACAUCUGCAACUAUAAUUAUUGCGGUACCUACAGGAAUUAAAAUUUUUAGUUGAUUAGCUACUCUUCAUGGAACACAAUUAACAUAUAGCCCUGCACUUUUAUGAUCUUUAGGAUUUGUUUUUUUAUUUACAGUUGGGGGAUUAACCGGAGUAAUUUUAGCUAAUUCAUCAAUUGAUAUUGUACUUCACGAUACAUAUUAUGUAGUAGCCCAUUUUCAUUAUGUAUUAUCUAUAGGAGCAGUAUUUGCUAUUAUAGCAGGAUUUAUUCAUUGAUAUCCGUUAUUAACAGGAAUAAUUAUAAAUCCUUCAUGAUUAAAAGCUCAAUUUACAAUAAUAUUUAUUGGAGUUAAUUUAACUUUUUUUCCUCAACAUUUUUUAGGAUUAGCCGGAAUACCUCGACGUUACUCUGAUUUUCCAGAUAGUUAUUUAACUUGAAAUAUUAUUUCUUCUUUAGGAAGAAUAAUUUCUUUAUUUGCUAUUAUUUUCUUUUUAUUUAUUAUUUGAGAAAGAAUAAUUACACAACGAACUCCUUCUUUCCCCAUACAAUUAUCUUCAUCUAUUGAAUGAUAUCAUACUUUACCUCCUGCAGAACAUACUUAUUCAGAAUUACCUCUUCUUUCUUCUAAUU